Molecule: ribosomal RNA, 474 nt
Filed under: uncultured bacterium
Lineage: Bacteria
Description: bacterial SSU rRNA
Rfam family: Bacterial small subunit ribosomal RNA
Source: RNAcentral
ACUCCUACGGGAGGCAGCAGUAGGGAAUCUUCGGCAAUGGGGGCAACCCUGACCGAGCAACGCCGCGUGAGUGAAGAAGGUUUUCGGAUCGUAAAACUCUGUUGUUAGAGAAGAACGUUAAGUAGAGUGGAAAAUUACUUAAGUGACGGUAUCUAACCAGAAAGGGACGGCUAACUACGUGCCAGCAGCCGCGGUAAUACGUAGGUCCCAAGCGUUGUCCGGAUUUUAUUGGGCGUAAAGCGAGCGCAGGUGGUUUCUUAAGUCUGAUGUAAAAGGCAGUGGCUCAACCAUUGUGUGCAUUGGAAACUGGGAGACUUGAGUGCAGGAGAGGAGAGUGGAAUUCCAUGUGUAGCGGUGAAAUGCGUAGAUAUAUGGAGGAACACCGGAGGCGAAAGCGGCUCUCUGGCCUGUAACUGACACUGAGGCUCGAAAGCGUGGGGAGCAAACAGGAUUAGAUACCCUGGUAGGUCAGUC